AAGACUGUAUUUUCAGGAAUCAUUUCUACAGAUUUUUACUUGAAAAUGUGUUUUAAAAGUGGUUGUGUCCCAACCCAUGACGAUGAGCUGUAAUGCUUCUUUCUGAGAGUGAAUCAAGAGCAGAACUGUGGUUGUAGUCACUAUAUGUCGUUGAAAAGCAUUCAUAUUGUUUCUGGCAGUAUUGGAGAAGAGUAUGAUCUGAGUGGU
RNAcentral lists this small nucleolar RNA (207 nucleotides) under Sinocyclocheilus rhinocerous. Its description in RNAcentral is "Small nucleolar RNA U3 (ENSSRHG00000040066.1)". It matches the Rfam family "Small nucleolar RNA U3". From Rfam's summary of the family: Small nucleolar RNAs (snoRNAs) are involved in the processing and modification of rRNA in the nucleolus. The record is from Rfam by way of RNAcentral. Lineage: Eukaryota; Metazoa; Chordata; Actinopteri; Cypriniformes; Cyprinidae.